Long non-coding RNA from Callithrix jacchus (white-tufted-ear marmoset), 3794 nucleotides. RefSeq lists it as uncharacterized. NCBI's taxonomy places the organism in Eukaryota, Metazoa, Chordata, Mammalia, Primates, Cebidae. The record is from RefSeq and is a predicted model, not a curated record.
GAAGCCCUGUGGGUGGAGGGGGCAGUGAGGACGCGCCUGGCUCACCUGUGCCCAGCCUGCUGCAGAGCCUCCCGCUCUCCAGACUGCAGAGCCCAGAUUGCCCCCCCCCAGGCUGGGCCAUCACUCACCAAGGUCUUGUCCCCACUCAGGCCCUGAGAGCGAGAGCUGAAGCCGGCCUGCAGGGUGUGGUACUGCCCCCUGGAUGCACCUGCGGAGAGGGACAGUGGGAGUCCAGCUCUGCCAGACAGCAACUCACUGGCCUCCUGCCUCCUCUCCACCAGUCCAUCUCCAUUCACAACCCUGGGAGCAGCCUCAGUCCCGGGCAGGGAGGCCAGGCGGGCCCGGGGGCCAGUGCCUCCCCGUUCCUGCCAUGUCCUGAUCUCCUCACCUGUCAGCCUGGUGGUCCACCUUCCACAGCCCACCCCCCAGCUGUGCCUCCUCUACCGGAGAAGGCAGAUGCGCUCACCCUCUGACCUCCUGGUCCCUGGGGAAUGUGCCAGGGACUCUCUGUCCAAUCCCUGCCAUGGUAUAGCACCUGGCCCCCUCCUCCAGGAAGCCAUCCUAGUCUGCCCCGGCCCACACUGACUUUUUUUGAGCUCCUCCUGUGCCCAGACCUCAUCUGUGCCCAGUCACCGGAGAGUGCCCUGUCUCUCUAGACCAGUAUGUCCUGUUGCAGUGCCCUCUCCCACCUGGCAGAGCCCGAGGCAGGGGCCACACCCAUCCCAUCCAGCCGCACACAGGCCAAGGGCAGCUGCAUCAGCCCAGCCCCACAGUGAGUGGACAGACAGGAGCUCGUCUGACAGCCUGUGCCUCUCCCCGGACCCUGGACUCUGGCUCUGGGCUCUCCUCCAGGGCAGACCCUUAACCCAGCCCCGUCCCCUGAAGACUUUUGCCCUAGUGGGGCUGGGGGCAGAGGUCUGGUGUGGGGGUGGGGUCAGUGCUGAGGGGGCAGAAACUGGAGGGUGGGAGUCAGAGGUCAGUGUUGGGAGUUAGAGGGGGAAGGGAGGCCUCUGAAAGGAUGGGGAGGCUGGGCUGGGGCUGCCAGGGGCGGGGGUGGAAGACCUACCUUGCCUGUGGUCCGGACCCCACCAGCCUCCCAGCUCAUCCCAGAGGCCACUGUGGAUGGCCAAGGUGUCCUGGGCUCCAUCCCCGGCCCAGCGUUCGGGGCAGCCUCUGCGUCGGGCCAGGACUGUGGGGCCCCGGAGGGCGGGGUGGGAACGCCCAGCACAUCAGACUGGCUGCUUCCCUGGGAGACGGGUUUUGUGUGGAAAAAUCCUGGGAGACAAGUUGGUGCGGCGCAGAGCGGGCUGAGGUAUGUACCUGGCACGGGCUGGGGCCCGCCCUGCACCCAGGUCCACCCCAGGCCCACCUGGGGCCCUGCCGAGUCCAGGCUGGCCCUGUUGACAGGGAAGCCGGCCUGGAGGAUCUCUGCAGCCCCGGCAGUCCGUAGGGCUCACGAGUGGGCGCCGUGGAGGGGCUUCCGUGCGGCCCGAGCCGGGAUGGGAAUGCUGGUGCCUGUGGCCUGCGAUUCUGCUGACCUUCCCUCCUCCCCUUGGCAGAGAGGGCUGCAGGUGCCCCCCCAGAGCUGUGCUGCCUCCCUGAGGAUGCGUGGUCCCUGCCAGGCAGUUUUGGCAAAGCUGGGAAGUUUUGGCAAAGCCGGGCACCUGGGCGCACCUUCGCUCACUGCUGCAGGGCCAGAGGGAUGCGAUGCCGGCCGGGCCUGUCACUACAGCUCCAGCCCAGGCCCGGAGGAGUCUUGUCUGACCCUGUGACCAGCCCUGAAUGUCUCACUCUCCCAGGAGCCCUGGAGGAGGCGGUUGUCCCUGGAGCCUGGAAUCUGCAUCUGGCCUCAGGCCGCUCUGGUGCACCGUCAGGUUGACAGCCUGGCAGCUGGGAGCCUCGAAGGGCGAGUGAGUGAGCGCUGCUCUUCGAUGGGUCCCAGGUGGCGGGUGGCCUGUCUAUCAUCUCCAAGAGGAGGUAGGAGAGGGCACAGGAGGCCUUCAGCGGGCGGUGGGCUCAGCGUGGGGCACGGGAGGCUCUCGGAGAAGGCGGGCUGGCCCAGGUGCCAGCCUGGAGUUGUGGGAGGGCACAGAAGACAAACCUCCAGGGCAGAGGGGGUGGGGUGGGCGGAUUGAGGAACAGAAGAGGGAGAAUCUGGGCAGAAAGGCGUGAGGAUGUUAAAAGCAAAACAGUCUCAAAACCGAAGUGAGGAGUGUGCUGCCGCACAGAGACUCGGGAGGCGGCCUCCGGUCCCAGCGCCUGAGGGGGGAGGCGGGCAGUGCCUCGGGGAGUGAUGGCACCCAGUGAUGGCACCCAGUGCCUGGGUGGGUGAUGGACCUGGUGUGGGGACACAGCUCACCCAGAGGCAAGCGUCCUGGUCUUCCUGUUAGCACCCACGCUUGCAAACCUUCCGAGCUGGGCUCUAGCCAAGUCUGGCCCAGGGCCCAGCCGCUCCGCGGAACCUACGGGGCUGCCCGUGGGCACCACCCCCACCCUCUGGAGUGUGGCCGGGUGCUGGAACAGCUCUGAGAUCUCCAGCCUUGGCCUUUGGCCUGAAAGGUGGCUGAGGGGUAUGGCCCCCAUAGGCUCUUGGGGGGGGCCCUUUCAUCUGCACACACCCCACCUACUGCUGGCCUGUGGGUCAGCCUGUCCAUCUGUCCAUCCAGCAUUUGUGGCUCACUGGACGUGUUGGGCUCUUCCUAAGCCCCUGGCAAGGCUCUGGGCAAGGGUGUGUGUGUCUGAGACAGGCAGGGCACAUCUGGGGGCUCUCCCAGGGUCUGUCAGGGCCUGGUGGGGCACAGUGAACAGACAGCAGCCCCCAAGUAAGGAUGCUAGUCGAGGUGGCUGGUGCAGCAGAGGCCUCUGGCUCCGGAGACCCUGUAGCUGCCCUCCAGACAGGCGGUCCCCAAAGGGACCUGAAGAGCCCAAAAGGAGCAGAGUGGUGUCUGACAGCAGGAUGCUGAUACCCUGGAUACUCUUCAGGAGGACAGCAGCCUCCAGAUGGAGAAUCAAGUAAAGGGCAGGGAGGGGGCAGAUAGGGCUGAGGAGGUGAUGGCUGGUGUCUGGGUCGCGGUGGGGGGCGGAUGAAAAGCACCUGCCCCUCCCACCGCCCAACCGUGAGUGCCCUGCACUGCUGGGUGCAGGUGGAUGCAGCCUCCCUCAGGUGCCUGGGCUGGGGUCCUGGUGUGCCGGCACCACCAAACACUUCAUUCUUACUCUUGUUGCUGUUAAUGUAUAUAUUUUUUAAGACAGUCUUGCUCUGUUGCCCAGGCUGGAGUGCAGUGGCACCAUCUCAGCUCACCACAACCUCUAUCUCCAGGUUCAAAUCAUUCUCCUGCCUCAGCCUCCCGAGUAGCUGGGAUUACAGUCAGAGGUCACGGGUCGAUUCACUCCACAACUGAGAAAGCCACUUGAUGCUGGAAAACAAAGAAUCAGCGUGUUCCAAGCAAAAGAGUCAGAAGAGGUGACUUCAGGGGUCAGCGCCUGUUUUCGGUCUCCCAAGUUGCGAUCCGUGCUCUCUUCAUUCAUCCUUUGAAGAGAAUCAAAACAAGACAAUUGUCUGCACGUCAGAGCACCCUAGGGUAGCACAGUCUAAAGCACGACCGACAAAGGAACGUGGCCACCUCUGUGGUCUGCGAUGGCCUCACGUGGCCACCUCUGUGGUCUGCGAUAGCCUCGCACGAGAACCGUGAUCACGACGGAACACUCAGAUAUCAGGGUUUUGGAAACCGCGCGCCAUUCUGGAACACAUAUUAAUGUUACUCACUAAAAUAUAACCUGAAGAUCAAACGCCA